AGUUAACGUUGGCGGCGUGCCUAACACAUGCAAGUCGAACGCGUCCUAAGGGCAACUUUAGGAUGAGUGGCGAACGGGUGAGUAUCACGUGGGUAAUCUUCCUUUAAGUGGGGGAAUAAGCUCUCGAAAGGGAGUCUAAUACCGCAUGACAUUCCGGGACACAAGUCCCGUAAUCAAAGCCGCAAGGCGCUUGAAGAUGAGCCUGCGUCCUAUUAGCUAGUUGGUGGGGUAACGGCCUACCAAGGCUCAGAUGGGUAGCCGGCCUGAGAGGGUGAACGGCCACACUGGGACUGAGACACGGCCCAGACUCCUACGGGAGGCAGCAGUGAGGAAUUUUGCGCAAUGGGGGAAACCCUGACGCAGCGACGCCGCGUGGAGGAUGAAGGCCUUCGGGUCGUAAACUCCUGUCAGAGGUGAAGAAUGCCGCAAGGGUUUGACGGUAACCUCAGAGGAAGCCCCGGCUAACUACGUGCCAGCAGCCGCGGUAAAGUCACGUCG
RNAcentral lists this ribosomal RNA (498 nucleotides) under uncultured bacterium. Its description in RNAcentral is "bacterial SSU rRNA". It matches the Rfam family "Bacterial small subunit ribosomal RNA", at positions 29 to 530 of the family's 1533-position model. The record is from RNAcentral.